Prunus persica (peach) is the source of this 395-nucleotide long non-coding RNA. RefSeq lists it as uncharacterized. The transcript is spliced from 2 exons. The record is from RefSeq and is a predicted model, not a curated record. NCBI's taxonomy places the organism in Eukaryota, Viridiplantae, Streptophyta, Magnoliopsida, Rosales, Rosaceae.
UGUGAUGUUGUGGUGUUUACGGGGGUGGGGGUAUUAGGCUUUGGAUUAGUAUUCAAAUUCUCGGCGCUAUAGACAAUUGCAUGAUAGUGUUUUGUACUUGAUUUGUGCAAGUUAUGGAAGCUCAAAAAAGGGGAUCAACAAAAGGAAAGCGCAAAGUCGACAGUAAUGUGCAACAAUCAAGAGUUGGCCGAGAUGCAUUUUUUAAUUUCAUGUACAAGAAGAGAUUGCUAAUAAAUGGAGGAAAUUAAACCUUAAAGAGAAGGCUACAUAUGGUUCUGCCUUGGAAGGUUCGAGUGGGCCAAGGAUUAAAAUAUCAACCAUGUAAAUAAUAUAGGGCCUCCAAUUUACGGAUAUUUCGGGGGAUAUAUUAUUAUCGUCUUAGGUAUCGGAAAAAA